UCUAGCAUAUAUCUCCCAAAUUGAAGUCUUCCAACACAGCUUUCAGCAGAGUUAGGUUGAGUCAGUACUUGGAUAGGAGACUUCCAAAGAACCCAUAGAUAUUGCAAGAA
Molecule: ribosomal RNA, 110 nt
Filed under: Gopherus agassizii (Agassiz's desert tortoise)
Lineage: Eukaryota; Metazoa; Chordata; Testudines; Testudinidae
Source: RNAcentral